Molecule: ribosomal RNA, 272 nt
Filed under: fungal sp.
Lineage: Eukaryota; Fungi
Description: partial 28S ribosomal RNA
Rfam family: Eukaryotic large subunit ribosomal RNA
Source: RNAcentral
CUUCGACGAGUCGAGUUGUUUGGGAAUGCAGCUCUAAAUGGGAGGUAAAUUUCUUCUAAAGCUAAAUACUGGCCAGAGACCGAUAGCGCACAAGUAGAGUGAUCGAAAGAUGAAAAGCACUUUGGAAAGAGAGUUAAAAAGUACGUGAAAUUGUUGAAAGGGAAGCGCUUGCAACCAGACUUGUCCGCAGUUGCUCAGCCGGUCUCCUGACCGGCGUACUCUUCUGCGGCCAGGCCAGCAUCAGUUCGGGCGGUCGGAUAAAGGCCUCGGGA